AGAGUUUGAUCAUGGCUCAGGACGAACGCUGGCGGCGUGCCUAAUACAUGCAAGUCGAACGAGAUCCAUCCGGUGGUAACACCGGUGAAGAUCGAGUGGCGAACGGGUGCGUAACACGUGAGCAACCUGCCCCGAAGACCGGGAUAACACCGGGAAACCAGUGCUAAUACCGGAUGACCUCAUGAGCCUGCAUGGGCACA
RNAcentral lists this ribosomal RNA (200 nucleotides) under uncultured bacterium. RNAcentral's name for it is "partial 16S ribosomal RNA". It matches the Rfam family "Bacterial small subunit ribosomal RNA", at positions 8 to 197 of the family's 1533-position model. The record is from RNAcentral.